AAUGAAAACCUCUCCUCUUUCUUAAAAAGGCUAAAACCCUAUUUUCUAAUUCUUUUCAUAUACGCACCAAUCAAAUCAAAUCAAAUCAAAUCAAAUCGAAUCAGCGAGAUGGUGGUGACGACGACGACGACGGAUACCGCGGAGUCGUUGCACUCCACCUUCGCCUCCCGUUACGUGCGCGCACUGCUUCCCAGGUUCGAUUUUUUUUUUUUGUCUGCAAAAAUUUAAGUACCGUGACACAAAAUCAUAUAUAAUAAUAUUAUAUAUUAUUAUUGCUAUGAUAAUUCUAAAGUAAUAAUAAUUAGGUAUAAGAUUCCGGAGAGGGUGAUACCGAAGGAUGCGGCGUACCAGAUAAUCAACGACGAGCUGAUGCUGGACGGGAACCCGCGGCUGAACCUGGCGUCGUUCGUGACGACGUGGAUGGAGCCCGAGUGCGACCGCCUCGUCAUGGCCGCCCUCAACAAGAACUACGUCGACAUGGACGAGUACCCCGUCACUACCGAGCUCCAGGUUCAAAACGAAUAUGAAUAUUACGUAUAGAAACAAACAGACACUCUCAAUAAUAUAGUAAAGGAUUAAUUUUAUACAGAUCCUUGCAAACAUAAUAAAUGACAAGUAAAUUUCUAUAAAGUUUAAUUUUUAUAUAUUGUUCNCUCCUUCGAUAUCGAGCUCGUUCCCAGCUCGUACCUGUACUACUCUUCCAAAAUUAUCUCUCUUUUCUUACAACAAUAAUCUCCUAACGUAGGCGCAGAACUAUUUUAAUCUUAAACUCGCUCAACUCUUUUAACCUGUUAAGUCUAAUCAUCAUUCAAAAUAUUAUAGUUUGAUUCAGAGGUUUAAUUCUACCAUACAUUACCGAUCGUCCCUAGAGUAAGUGGCAAAGGGCUCGGUGGUUGGUACCCGAGACCUAAGUUUGAAUCAUAAUUGAUUCACAUUUCUAGCCAAGUUUAUUUCUAAAUGAAAUAAACGAAACAGGUAGCGUGCUACUUAUCUCUCAAAAAAAAAAAAAAAAAUCUACCAUACAUUAUAUAUAUAACUAUUUCAAAUCCUAAGAAUGUAUUAGAAUCAAAAUAACAACAUCAUAGCAACAUCAUAGCACGUAAGUGAUACAGACAAAAUUGUAAGAACAAAUGUAAUAGAAGGCCCUCAUAACUUCAAAAGUUUACGAAAAAAAAGCAAUUAUAAAANUCUCUGCGGACUACAACAAAAACUCGAUUUUUUCCCCAAAAAAAUUUUACGAACAACCAAACAUGGAGAAAAAAAUUUUCAACUGAAAUUUUUUUUUAGAGGGGUUUAACAUAGAUCCAAACACUCGUGAGUUCGGCGGCAAGAACCGCGAAGGAGGAGGACGACGAAGACGACAUGGACGAGUUGGCGACGAGAGCGGCGACGACGCUACUCGUGAGUCCGCCACCGCCUUUUUUUGGGUGAAUCGUUCGGGAAUCGCGAAUAAUUCGCGAAUAAUUAUUUUUGAUAAAAAAAUGCAUCUUUUUUUGAAUUUUUCGAAAAAAUACGGAUACGGGCGUUUAAUUCGGUUAUUCAAAAAUUUGCAAACAAUUUGCAAAUUAUAUGCGAAUUAACUAACAAUGGGUGUCAGCCGUAGACCCCACCAUUAGAAAUAGUUCUUUUUUUUUUUUGCAAAGAUAGGUAGCAUGCUGGAAAUGUGAAUCAACUAGAAUUCAAAUUUAGAAGAUCGCGAAUACCAACCACCAAGUCUUACGAAAAUAUGUGUUUAGUGGCAGUGGGUGACUCGUAGCGCGAGUUGGUUUGUUCCGGGAUAGUUCGUGGGUCCCGGCGGAGUCCCGAUGCGGUUUUCGGGACUUCCGGCGUGUUCGGCAAUCGGUUUUGGGAAACCGAUUUCCUUAGAUUCGUUGGUGGGGAUUGUAAGUUAGCAUUUUGUGUUCAUGGGUUGGAUUCUAACUCGGUGGGCCCUUCGUAGGUCCGGUUGUUUCGUCUCCGCGGUCAAGGGUCCAGUGCCAGAUACGUAUAGGUAGGUACUUCGAUCCGAAGUCGGUACAGUGGUGCACGCUGGGUGAUAUCUUCUUAGCCUUACUUUCUCGUUAUUACUCCACAUGCAUAUAUUAUAUGUUGAGCCUAGCACCUAUACCAUAUUUCCUUAUUGCUCUACUUAGUUGUUUUACAUAUCCUGUUUCAUGUUUAGAGUAGAACAUUUGCGUGAUUAUUUGUGAUAUCUGUGACCUGGUUGGUCGGUUCCAGUAUCCCGUAUCUGUGACCCAUUGGUUCGGUUUAUUGCAAUGCUAUCGUGACCUAUUUGGUCGGUUGGACUAUUUGAUGACCUAUACGGUCGGUACGCCUUGAGGGGCAGGAUUGUCGGUAGUUGCCGACGGUUGGUUAUUGAGCAUAUCAGUAUUGAUCGCUCGAGACUCGUACGCAUUUCACGAACACCAGCUGUUUGAUCCACCGCAAGAGGGUGUUCUUUUUCGGAAAAGUGGUUCGAUGUGCCAACCCGUGAGCCCAGCUGUCAUGCCGUGGACUUCAGCGGAAGCUUACCAGUUACGUGCACAGACCCACCGUGUACACCACAACCUAAAGUGUACACUAGGCGUCUACAGUCAGCAUAGAAAAAGCAUAAUAUCUUAACCAGGUAAUCAAAGAAAAACUUAAAAGUUCAAAAACUUAUACUACACAUAACCUUAUUACAACUGAAUAGAACAAGUACAAUCUACAUAACCCAAUAUACAUCACUAAACUAAACUGCAUAAACUUGUAGAGGUUUGUCUAUUUAAAAUCGAGAAGGCUCUAGCUAGCCGCUGACCCCUCGCCGGGAACCCUAGCCUUUCCCACUGCGGAAGACUUUGCAUAAAAAUAAUCAACAAAAGGGCGUGAGAACUAUUAAACAAUAGUUCCUAGUAGGUAAGCUGCCGAGAGUGGUGAAGUAUACCACUAGGUCAACUGAGGCAUGUAUAAACAACAAUAAGUAAGUACAGUAAAUGCAACAAGUAAAUGAAGUAAAACAACUAUAGUAUGCCUCGCAAGAUAUGUUUUCUAACUUGUCUUAUGUACUAGUUUAUUAUAACAAGUUCUAUAAUACAUGCUAAUUAACAAUUUAAUUAGCUAUAUGUCAGGCUGUAUGCAAAAUAUCAUCAUUAUAAUUUAGCUAGCUAAUAUCAUAUAGCUAUUUCCCUAUCCUAUCAAGAGUGUAAACAUUCAGGAACUGUCACUAAACUAUUGACCAACAGGGAUGUCAAUCUUCUAGUAUGCUCAUUACUAGGUAUACUCAACUGAUGAUAUAAAAUAUCUUUACUACUAUGUCCAUCUAAGGUUAAAGUUCUUAACAUUAACCCAAUUAACAAGAGACUUACAAAUGGUAAAGUCCCAGCUCGUGUCGUGCCUAAUGGCCCGUGGAAGUCAACACUACCCACAACAAUCUACUUCGGAGCUCAGUCUCAGACGGAAGCAAGCAAUCUUUCGCUAGGCUAACUCCGGAGUACCGGCUUGUGGGGUGCGACCCUCACAAGCAUGUGUGAAUGAGCACAUCGGCAAGCAAGCAUAAUCCAUAGCAUAGAUAUCAUAAGUUCAUCAUAUCUCUAACAUGGAAUCUUAACUCGACACCAGGUCGACAAAUAAUACUAAGUCAUAGUCCACUAUCAACUACUUGGUGAUAUGUUUCUAGUAAUAGAUAGUAUGACUCAAAUAAGUACAUACUUUACAUCAUAUUGAUGAUUCUAACGGGCUAUACCCUCAUAUUCACAUAUAGUUCUCUCACUACUCUCUAUACAUAAGAAAAGUGGUUUACUGAGGUCAUAUUCAAUGGCUCCUUCUAGUAUUCAUAUGACUCAUGGCACAUAUUCUAUAGUUUUACAAAAACCUCCACUAUCUGGAGUAAACAAGUAUCAUGCAAGUAAUUUUUCUUGACUAUACAAGUAUGACAUCAUAUCCAAUUCUAGUUAUUUAACUAGAUUGUAUUCAAUAGUAUAACAUUCAUGUUAUAACAUAAUGCCCAGUUCUAGUUACUUAACUAGAUCAUAUAUAAGAACAUGAAGUUCAUGCUUUUUCUACCAUGUAAAAACGAUACUCAGCUUGUUAACGCAAUUAGGCGACGCAUCACAUAAGGUACUCUAUAUACAUGGUUUCUACACAAUUCAUUUCAUAAUCUAGAAUUAUAGCCUUGUUAAACAGAAUAUGCACAAAAGUCCUGUCAUCUUGUCUACAACAUGGGAUUGCAUAGUUUAGCUCGAUGGUUGAGAAUAAUAUUAUCCUAUUGACUUAGUUGUUCAUCUAAACUAAAUGUCAUCAUCAUAACCUUACCUCCAUUUAUCAUUGCAUGAUGUGAUAUUUCACUUGUCUAUACAAGUAUGCUACUAUCAUAUAAUGCAUGCUAAGCAAACAGGCGAUCUAUACAUAAUAAGCAAAUUCCAUAAUUUCAUCUCUACCAUAUAGAGGUUUCCUUUAAUCCAACAUACUAUGCUUGUUAUACAUGCAACAAGACAUCCAAACAUAGAUUCACAGGAAUAUGCAAGAAUUUUCAAUUCCAUAAUGUCAAAGAAGACAUGGAGGGAAUUCACCCAUUUCGGUAAGGUCAAACCCACCAAGUACUCGACGACUCUCGUCGACCCCAUGAGCGAGGACAAUGCGCAGCCUCCAAGCACCCUGACAAUCAAUCCAAAAUCAGCUAAGGGCUGAAUUUGUAUUUCUACAUCAAGGUUCACAUAAACAUCCAUAUAAUUAUCUUACCUAGGUAAUUCUUACCUAGUAUAGUGUUACGGUUGGAAUCUCAACCUUGAUUAAGGUUGGAACACCAAAUUCAACCUUAGAAAGCUCCCAAAUCUCAGCUAAACAAGAUCAACUGGUCCGCUGUGAACAUGCUGUCUAGUAUAAAAACUGCUUUAAAUUUAGAAUCAUCUCAUUCAACUAAGGAACUACUAGGUAAUAUACCCUUUCACAGCGUCAACUUAGCUUUUCCCCUAGUUUCGAAUUGAAGAACCACAACAAAACCUCUUCUACAACUGCUGGUACCUUCUCCCAAACUAACUGUAACAAAAGGGACCAAAAACAACUCAAAUCCACUACUGGUAUCAACUAGAGAGAAGAAUAGUAUCACUCACGUUACCAAGACUUCAAUUCAGCUACCUGCUGCUAGGGUUGGGGAAAACUUAGUAAAAUACCAUCUCCCACGUUCCAAGAGCUAACCCUCAAGUCUCUAACCCAGCCAACACAAGAGAGGGGAAGAAAAAUGAGCUCAAAUCACCAAAUCUCACUUUAAACACCUCACCCUAGAGAGAGUAAGAGAGGUAUUCAAAUCUGUUUCUCUCAGCUCAAGCAACUUUAGAAUAGCUGCAGGGGUUGUGCAGGGGGAUUAGAGAUAAGCUUGGGAAGUAAAAUGACCAAAACAGCCCUAAUGUCACGCAGUUGCUGUGCUGGGUACUGGUACCCAUGCGUUCUGGUACCGGUACUCAAUACAGAAUGUUGAAUUUCGCCGUUUCGAUGCACUUUUGCUCUUCCGGCUACUUCGUCACUUCAGUAACUUGCCGAAAACCUCCCAAUAACCCUUCAAAAGAUGUGGAAUAGUUUCAAUUACUAUUCUAACACUCGAACUUUGCAAUUUGCUAAAGUUCAGUGUACUACACUAGCGGCCUAGGCUAGGUCAAAUGCAGGUAGAGUGGCAGUGGGUACAGGCUUGAGGUUUGCGGUGUGGACCAACAGAGCAUUGGUUUCAGAUUGGGUAUUUUUGGACUUGUCGUCCGUCCGGUUGAUGCACACAUACAAUAACAGUAUUGCUAUUGUAUUUCACUUACCCAUAUUUUUGUUUAUCCUCCUUGACUGGUGAGCACCCCUCGCCCUCGUCGGCUUGCGGUACCUACUGAGAGGGGAGACAUGUUUAUAUGUUCUCACCCCCGACCCCCAUUAUAGGUGACGUUGCAGGUCCUAGUGGGACGGUUCGUGAGGAGCGAGUCUAGCGACCGAUAGUAUCACCGUCCCGUUGUUGGUUAAUUAUCAAAUUUAGCUCUUUAAAUAAAUGACUUAAACAGUUAAUUGGUUCAGUUACUUAUCACCUUUGAAUUCAUAUGGUUUUAUGAAUGUAAUAAUGAAUUUGGGAUUUAUGUGAAAUGGAAAUAGUUUUCUACCCCUCAUGGUAGCGAAUUUUUAAAGAAAAAAGGGUUUCCGUGUGGGAAACUAUUUUUAAAAGAUUUUUUUGGUUUUCACGGUUUAGUAUUUUAAAAUGAGUUUCCGGGUAGAAAAUAUUUUAAAUUGAUAAAAUAUGAAUUGAUGAAUAUUUGUGAUGAAAUAAAUAUGGUUAUGAACGGUNGGAAAUAGUUUUCUACCCCUCAUGGUAGCGAAUUUUUAAAGAAAAAAGGGUUUCCGUGUGGGAAACUAUUUUUAAAAGAUUUUUUUGGUUUUCACGGUUUAGUAUUUUAAAAUGAGUUUCCGGGUAGAAAAUAUUUUAAAUUGAUAAAAUAUGAAUUGAUGAAUAUUUGUGAUGAAAUAAAUAUGGUUAUGAACGGUGUAUGAUUAUCUGUGGAUGUUCAUAUGUGUGGUUGUAUUUGGUAUAGUAAAAUGUAUCAUGUACUUUUACGAUGCUGUGCAAAUACAGGGGAGAUUCUGUCCAAGUGAACAGUGGACUUCCUGUAUUUGUGGCGGAUAUGGCAUACCCUAGGGGUCAAUAUUUUUUUUAAAAAAAAAUUGGGCACUUCUGCAUGGAAUUUUAAAUCCAAAGGGACCCCGGGAUGUGACAUCAUCUCAGGUUCCUCUUUCUCUUUGGUUUAAUUGUGGGCUUGGUGGAGGCCGUAGCUCGAGCUCGAGAAAUUUUCGACGUCGAUUUGGAAGGUCGUUCCAGUGUGCGUGCAUCGCGGUUGCGUCGUUGGAGGCCGAGCGAGCGCGUGUUUUCCUCUCCUUUCGACUUCUCGCCGUUGUUGGACGAGCGUUUUGAGGUGGUUUGAAGUUUACCGAAAUCGUCGCAAUACCUUCUAAGUUUUAGCAUCAUCGACAUGUAUCGUUUGUGUAUUUCCUUGCUAGUACUCGAAUUCAUGGAUUAAGUGUUUAAAUCUGAAUUUGGAGUUAAGCUAGUUAUAUCAUUUUACAUGUUGGACUUGGAAUUGACUGAGGAGAAAACUAUAGAUCCUACACUGUCAUUUUCUAAAAAUUUUCAGAUUUAGCUUUAGGAGCUAUGGUUUGUUUCUAUCAUUGCUGUUUGUAUGCAAUAGUUACCCAGAUUAGUAUAGGGUGAGUUUAUGCUCGUGCUGGAAUGCCGAGCUUGUUUUACAGUAGUGUGUAGACUAUUUCGUAAUAUCCGGUGCUGUUGGGAUUGACAUUGGACCCAGAUUUCUGUAGCACCGCUGUUAGUGCGAGGUGGAUGCUCGGAUGAGUAUAGGUUGAGUUUACGCUCGUGCUCAGGAGCCGAGUUUAUUUUACAGUAGUGCGUAGACUGUUCCAGACUGUCGGAUGCUAUCACGGUUGACAGUGGACCCAGAUUUCUAUAUUUGUAUCAUAUUGUGCCGAGGGCACGUGAGUUUUGGUUAUUACAUCAGUUAAACCCAUUUUCUUUGAUUAUAGCCUGUGAGAGCCUGAUUGAGCUCGACAGAGACACGCUUACAUAUUCAGUUGGGUAGCGCCCACGAGUGCCACUUCGGAGUUGUGCUUUGUGCAUUUGCGUAGAUGUCGUAGUGUCCAAUGUGGACUUGCUCUUCACCAAUUACCCAGCAUGUUGGUCGUUGGUGUAGCUUCGACAGGCAGGACGGGUGCGUUCACAGUACCUAGUGAGAGUUGGUUAGAGGUUGCAUCAUUCUUAUAUCUACAAAAUAGUGUUUAGUGAUAGUAUAGUGGCAUGUAGCUUUAGAGUUUUUUCAGCUUCCUUUACUAUCCUUGUGCAUAUUUUUCUGUAGAAUUAGUGGGUGGGUUGUUGAGGUUGGUAGCGGUACCCACUGAGCACUACUUCUUCUUGCAGUAGUUCUCACACCCAGUUGUUGACCCUUUUUUGCAGAGCCUUCGUCCGUGGCUGCUGCUGUUGUUGUUUUGAAUCGUGGAAAGGGAGUUGUGAGCUAGAUUCCUUCCAGUCUUGCCGCAGUGCUAAGGAGUACCUCCUACAGAUAGUUUUGGAUUUUUUUUGUACAUAUAGUCUUAUUGUCUGGAUACUUGCUGGAGUGAGUGGUGUAGUAGACAUUUUGUAUGUACUGGAACCCUUGAGGUUAUAUAUUACUUUUCUAUUUAGCAGCUCUUUACCUUGUGGUUGUAGCUUCGAUUUGUUUACUAGUACAGCUAUCGCUUCGUAUACAGAAAAAAUUCCUAUUUAUACAGUGGGUCUGUUGCUGUGCCCAGAAAAAUAUGUAAUCCGGGGCGUGACAUUACAAAUUAUAAAUUUUAAAAAUUUAAAUUUUUAAAAUUUAACUAUUUAAUUAGAUAAAUAAUAAUAAAUUAUAAAUAGAUUAUUAUUUAAAUAUUUAUUAAUUUAAUAACUUAAAUAAGUAAUUAGUCAAUUAUUAAAAAAUUUAAUUAUAUUAAUUAAUUAUAAUUUAUAAUUAUUUAUAACUUAAUUAUUAGAGGAAUAAACUAGAGAAUAGUUUGUUACACCUAAUAGAUAGAAUUACUAUUCUCCUCUCUUAACGGGUUAUUCCGGAAUAGCCCGUUAACGCGGGAAUAAAUUAACAUGCUAAGUUUGCUUGGUGUUUGGCAAGAAUAGUAGGAUAAAAGGGGUUAUUCCCCUUUUAUCAUAUGUAACAUAUCGAAAUCCGGAAGAAAUUAUCGAACCUUAGCCAAAUUGGUUAAAGUUGUCGAAAGAAAAAGUUGGACAAGUUCCAAUUAGCAUUCCAACAAUAUUGGAAGGGCUAAAAUUGAGUUUAAGAGGUAUUAGAAAGGUUUUAGCAUUGAACGGCGCGAAACAGAAUCGAAAACGGUGCGAAAUUGUAUUCUGGAGCAAAGUGUACCGGUACAACUAGCGAGUUGUCAUCGGUACAGCAUUGCAGGCCGAGAAGGAAAAGCUCCCGGGUUUGAGAUAUUUUGCCUGUGUUACCGUUGACACCCCUGGUGUGUACCGGUACGCUUUGGUAAAACCUGUAAGAAUUGCUCUCGGGUUUCCCUCUGCGUAAUCGUGUUACCGGUGACACCUUAAAGUGUACUGGUACACUUUGGGUCUGACAGCAAAAUGAAAACGUACUGCUGCAAAUACAAGUGUUUGGAGAGCUUUUUGGCUAUUGUUACAACAUGUAAUAUACCCCCAACACCCCUCCUACCUGUUCUAAACAGCAACCACUCUCUCCCUCUCUCAUUUCCCUCUUUCUCUCUCUAGAAAACUCUCCAAUGAGUAAGGAGAGGAAGGAGAAGAAGGAUUUUUGAAAAAGUUUUGGUGGAUUUGAAGGCUUUAGAAGCUCUUCUACAAGGAGGACUUGGGGAUAGCUUGUGGCUAAGGUGAGUUUAUGCAUGAACUCCUUUAGGGUUAGGAUUCUUACCUUAAGUUUUGGAGUUUUGAUCCUCUAAUAACCCUAUAAACGUCGAACGAACCUUGAAAUCCAUGAAAAUCAUGAUUUUCUCAAGGUCCUUCCAUGGUGAACAUCUAGGGUUUAAAGUAGAUGCCCUAGGAUUGGUUCGAGUGGCUUGGAAAUGGUAUUAGAAAGCUUCAUGGGUGGUUCUAAGCUUAAUUUUGCUUAGUUAUAAGAUCAAUCCUAAGAAAUUUUGCAAAUGGCAACAUUAGGGCACCCAAUUUGGAGCUUUUGCCUCCGAAUGUUUUUAAGGCAAAUUGACCUUGUAAAAACCUAAUUAGGGGUAUUCCCGACGCAUGGGACAACUCCGUUUGACGUUACGAAAAGAUUUAGAUGGAGUUAUUGAGAAAAAGCCUAAUUUGGCUUCGUUUUGCCACAGGCGAGAAAGUAAGGCUUCAAAAAUUUCAGGAAAUUCAUUGUAGCAUCCCUACAACCAUCUAAGGUGGGUGGUGCAUUCCAAGGACCUCGAAAUUUCUUUUAUAUCUAAAGUGUCACAUUGAGCAUAUGUAUGUAUUUGAGCAUAUUGCAUAGUAGGGUAAUUGUAAGCUUCCUUUGCAUGUUGUGAGUUCAAAUGCAUGUGAAAUACUUGUAAGAAUGUGAGAAUUCUAUUUACCCUAUGUAUGCAUGAGAAAUGACAAGAACUUAGUAGCUUUAGAGAACAAAAGUGACAUGUUGACAUAAUUAUAGAGAAUGGCAUCAACGAAUCGAGAUAUGCUAGAGUUGACACUUAGAAAACAAGUGUGGCAUCAAUGAAUGAGUACAAGAACUAGUAGUGUAUAUGACACUAGUAAAGGUUAAAGAAUGCAAGUAAAUAGAGGUAGCGACAUUAUGACAUAACAACCUUAGAGUUAAGGGUCAAAUGUGCAUUGUUUCCUUAUAGUUAAGGAAUGGAUUUGACUUGACAUCCUUAUAGAUAAGGAUAGGAUCAUACUCACCUGUAAGUCCUUGCUCGAGGGUGGUAGCUUCCCCUCGGGCGAUGUGCUCCAGAGUUGUCAUUACCGGGUCGUAGCGAGUAUCUCCCCAGAGGACGGUCCCAUCGAGUUGUAGUGGGUAUCUCCCCGAUAUUAGGAAUUUGGUUGGUGAGUCAUUGAGGGCGAAACCUAAGGGUUAGCCAAGAAAUUGGGUAAUGAGAUUGUGACCUUGCAUUCAACAUGAGCAUACAAUUGAGCAUCGCAUUUAUUAUUGUUCAGGCAUAUUAGCUGCAUUUGUAUAGUUUGGUUACUAUCUAUAUCUCUUUUCUUCUAUUAUGCCUGAUUUAGACCUAGUGGGAAAGUCGGCGUGGUUGGUUGCCGAACCCACUGGAAACUUCGUUGUAGUUCUCACACCCCAUUUUCCACAGAGCCCGGACCGAGUGAGCCGACGGAUGAUCGCCGUAAGGGCAUCGCGCCCUAGAUAGAGACCACCCGAGACGGUUUCUCAUUUUGGUUUAGUUGCAUACCCUUUAGUUGCCAUNUUAGACCUAGUGGGAAAGUCGGCGUGGUUGGUUGCCGAACCCACUGGAAACUUCGUUGUAGUUCUCACACCCCAUUUUCCACAGAGCCCGGACCGAGUGAGCCGACGGAUGAUCGCCGUAAGGGCAUCGCGCCCUAGAUAGAGACCACCCGAGACGGUUUCUCAUUUUGGUUUAGUUGCAUACCCUUUAGUUGCCAUCUUUUGUAUUUUGAUGAUUUUAGGAUUAUGAACUUGUUAAAUGAAUGAUGUAAAAAGGGGAUUAUGUUUCAAUGCAAACUUUAUAUUUUGAGAUAUCAUGUGAUGUAAAAGAGAAGAAAUGAUGCAAAAAUAUAAGCGAUUUUCCUAAGUGUAGUUUACUACUUUUACUAUUGGCUAUUGUUUGCCCUCGUGCAAGCCAUUGUGUAUGCUUCCGCUUAUGCAAAUUUUAUACUCUAUCUAUACCUGUUGUUGAGCCUUGGGCAGAUGGGGGAGGCUCUGUCCGUUCGGCGUCUGUUUGACGCUGUCGAACCGGCCAAAAGGAUCGGGCUCGGGGCGUGACAUCCCACAACCAAACGGGGCCGAUCUCUUGAUCUCCUUCCUCUCUCUGAUCCUCCUCUGACUCUGAUCUUCCUCGUCCUCUACUGCUGGUAGUAAUUACAACAAAUAAUCGAUGAUGUAGAUGAAAUUGAUACGAGAAUUAAUUAUUAAUUAAUGUAUGAUGAUUUGGGAGGAGGGGCGGAUCGUCUCGAUCCACCCAUUAAUGCCGUUGGCGAGAGCAACGGCCGUCGGGCCAUCUGUGGCUCCUCUGCUAUGCUAUUCUUCCGCACUCUCUGCUCCGGACCAAAUAUUUUGCCUUCCCUGCACUCCCCCCCCCCCAAAAAGAGAAUAAAAUAAGUCCAAAAUAUUUGAAUUUGAAUCAUAGAACUUAUGAAAUAUUGGAUGUAGUCCAUAAGAUACACUAAUACGCCCGGUGUAGGCUACUACUUGAUCAUUUGACUGAGAGAGAUAAUUACUUGUUACUUAAAAAAUUUGUGUAGAGACUACCAUUUUUCUAUAUUUAAUACUUGUAUUUGAGAUCUUGAUGUAUCUACUCAUGGUUUUUGUUAGUUAAUUAGAUCUUUUAUAUUCUACUUGUAAUUAGAAUUUAGUUGUUGUAUGCUCUGAUAUCAUACUAGCAGUUUAUCUUUCUUGCUUAAUUAUAUUAUGGUUGUAGACGCCUUGUAUGUUAUUAGCAUAUGGCGGGUCUGAACACGCACCAAGCAGGCUUCCGCUGGGUCCCGGGGAGUGACAAUUACUACCAGUAGUAGAUGACGAGGAGGAUCAGAGUCAGAGGAGGAUUAGAGAGAGGAAGGAGAUCAGAAGAUCAGUAACAAGUAAUUAUUUCUCUCAGUCAGAUGAUCAAGUAGUAGCCUAUACCGGGAGUAUUAGUGUAUCUUAUGGACUAAAUCCAAUAUUUCAUAAGUUCUAUAAAUCAAAUUCAAAUAUUUUGAAUUUAUUUUAUUCUUUUUUUUGGGGGAGGUGGGGGAAGUGCAGGGAAGGCAAAAUAUUUGAUCUAGAGCGGAGAGUGCUGAAGAAUAGCAGAGCAAAGGAGCCAUAGAUGGCCCGACGGCUGUUGCUCUCGCCAACGGCUUUAAUGGGUAGAUCGAGACGAUCCGACCCUCCUCCCAAAUCAUCAUACAUUAAUUAAUAAUUAAUUCCUGUAUCAAUUUCAUCAGCAUCAUUGAUCAUUUGUUGUAAUUACUACCAGUAGUAGAGAACGAGGAGGAUCAGAGAGAGGAAGGAGAUCAGAAGAUAAUGUUAUAAAAUUUUUUAAGUAACUAGUAGUUAUUUCUUUCAGUCAGAUGAUCAAGUAGUAGACUACACCAGGCGUAUUAGUGUAUUUUAUGGACUACAUCCAAUAUUUCAUAAGUUCUAUAAUUCAAAUUCAAAUAUUUUGGAUUUUUUUUGGGGGGGGGGGGCGGUGGGUCAAAGUNGGAAGGAGAUCAGAAGAUAAUGUUAUAAAAUUUUUUAAGUAACUAGUAGUUAUUUCUUUCAGUCAGAUGAUCAAGUAGUAGACUACACCAGGCGUAUUAGUGUAUUUUAUGGACUACAUCCAAUAUUUCAUAAGUUCUAUAAUGAGAAGGCAAAAUAUUUGGUUCGAAGUAGAAAGUGUGGAAGAAUAGCAGAGCAGAGGAGCCACAGAUGGCCCGACGGCCGUUGCUCUCGCGGCCUUAAUGGGUGGAUCGAGACGAUCCGACCCUCCUAGCUCCCAAAUCAUCAUACAUCUAUUAUCUAUCUUCUAUCUUCUAUUAACUAUUACUAGUGAAGGACCCACGCAUUGCGGUGGGACGACUUCGUAGAAAUAAAUAAAUAAAUUUAAAAUAACAAAAUAAAAAGUCAAAGAAUUAUAUAAAAUAAAUAACUGAAAAAUAAGUAACUAAUUAAAGAUUGAGGAAUUCUCUAAAUUAGCACUUGAACCGAACUGAAUCAAUGAUCUGCCUAUAUAAUUUUGUUUUGUGUAUGAAAACCGAACCAAUUAAAUCUGAAAACCGAACCAAUUAAAUCUGAACCGAAGAGCUGUUGUCUCUAAAAAUCUGUACCGAACCAAUUAACUGACUCUCUCUAAACCGAACCGAACCGAACCAAACCAUUCACUAUCUAAACUUCUCAAACCGAACCAAUAAACUUCUCAAACCGAACCAAUACACGCUUGCUUCUUCUCCGCUCGAAACCAUAAGUCGCUUGCUUCUUUUCCGCUCGAAACCGUAAGUCGCUCCGCCUCCUCACGACCUUGAUUCUUUUCAUGUUCUUCUCAUGUCCGUUACAGUAAAUCACUUCCCCUCCGUGCGACCUUGCUUCUUCUCCUGUCCGUUACAUUAAAUCAUUUCUUCUCCUCUCAAUGCCGCAGCAUCCAUCCCCUAUUUUCGUUUCAGACGGGAUCGACGGGAUCGUGCUCAUAAAAUUUACCAUCGUUUUAGAUGGAUACUCUCCUCUACCCUGGCCGAUUUUUGCCUAUAAAAUCUGUCCAUGCCUCGCAUCGAAACCAGCGUCUUAUGCUAUUAUCCCGAAAUUUGAACGGUAAGAAAUUAGAAAUUUAGAUAUUCAGUUCAAAUCUUUCUUUUUCUUAUAUAAUAUGAUAAUAAUAAUAAUUUUAUUGUUUUAUCCUCAAGAAUCGACGCUCCUAUUUAUAAUAUCUGGACGUUUCCUUCUUGGUAGGCUUUUGUGUUCAUAUCAAAUCUUUCUUUCUAAUAUAAUAUAACUUUAAUUGAUAUUAUUGUCUUUUUAACUUUCGGUGAAAUUUUAAUUAAAAAAAAGGAUAAACUUCAAAUACCACCCUUGUGGUUUCGCACUUUCUUACUUUAGUACCCUGUGGUUUAAAGUGUAUCAAGUUAGUGUCAUGUGGUUUCAUUUUUAUCUUUUCGUCAGUUUUUCUGUUAAUAUUUCGUUAAAUUAUUAUAUACAAAAAACUUCAAUACCCCAUCUAGAUUUAUUGAAUAUUCACUUUAGUAUCCUUUAGUUUUAACUAUGUCACUGAUUUAACGAAAAAAUUAGUGAAAUCAAUAAUCAAAAGAUAAAAAUGAAACCACAUGGCAGUAAAUUGAUACACUUUAAACCACAGGGUACUAAAACAAAAAAGUGUGAAACCACAUACCUCAUGGUUUAAAUCAUAAUACAUUAAAAAUUUGAGGAUUAAAUUGUUAUUCGUUUUAUAGUUUUAAGGAUGAAAGUGUAAAUCCAAUCUUUCAAAAACUUUUUUUAUCCAUUUUUUUAUAUAUUUUAAAUUUUUAUAGUACAAAAUAAAAAAUUAGAUUAGACUUAGAAAAAUUAUAAAUUUUCUUCUAUGUACAUGAACAAAGGAAAAAAAAUUGAAGUUAGAGGGGAAAAAACAACCUCUCUCCUCUCUCCCCCGCUAGGUCCCCGCUGGGUCCCACCUUGUCCCAGAUUGGAUUUAAAAAAAAUAAAUGAGGGAACAAUUGAGAUGAGAGAAAAAAAAACUUCCUCUUCACACCCUCCCCUGGCUAGGCCAAAAAUUAUAUAAAAAAAUAACUAAAAAAUGAACAAUUAUUAUGUAACACACUGGACCUUUGCAAAUUACGAGGUUCGAGUGUUUGGCCUGUGUUUCGAGCAUUUCUAGAUUUUCUGGACGUUCGUUGACCUUGUUCCGACCUAUGGCUCGUACCCCGAGAAAUGAAGUUUCUAUAGUAGAGCUAAGGCCGCCAAAGAGGAGAACUUAGGCUGCUCUCGGGUUGCCUCUGCACACUGUUGUACCGGUACAAAUACGGUUCUGUACCGGAACACAUUGUGUACCGGUACAGAUAUGGCUCUGUACCGGUACAAAUAUGGAAAAUAGCAAACCCGAGGCUCGGGUUGGGCUGUAUGGCAGGGGUUGUAUCGGUACACUUUCCCGUGUAUCGGUACACUUUGCCCAGAAUGUUGAUUUCGUAGAUGAGGCUUUUUGCAAUUGUUGCAACUCUAUUUAUACCCACCCCAGCCCCUUUGAGAGCUCCUUUGAGCCCUAGAACGUGGAAAGGAGAGGUAAGAACUCCUCUCUUGAUUUUUUUUCCCUUUUUUCUUGCAUUUUAGCCCUUCUUGAUCUUCUCUCUUUGCUUCCCUUUGUUCCUUGUGGGGAUUUCCACCUUGGAGAAGCAUUGGAUUGAAGAUUGGAGCUUGUGGGAAGGAAGAUCUUCAACCCUAGCCUACUUGGAGGGUUGAUUUGGAGCUCUUGUGAGGUUAGUAAGCUUAAAUCCCCCUUUUGAUCUAUGUUUAUUGGUUUUUGUUGUUGGAAACCCUAGAAUUGAGAAUUAGGGUUAGAAUUGGGGAUUUUGGUUUAGAUGCUUUUAGAACCAUAUUGAAUGGUUUAGAACCUUUGUAUAGGUUUGAUUAGAAGGCCUCUACCUCCCAUUUGGAGAUCGAGAGGGCUUUCUUCGCAUUCGGUGAGUUUUCUCACCCUUUUCUUGAGUUGCUUAAUGUUUGAGCAAUAGGUUGUUCGUUUCGAUUUUAUAACUCUCCUUUUUAUACCUUUAGGGUGCUAGGAGACUAGUGGGCACCUUCGUCAGUUUAAACGAAGGGUUGCGAGAGGUCACGGUGGGUUUGGCUUCUUUGAAAGAGGAGAAAAUCUCUCCUAAGUGGUUAAAUAUUUUCGUAUCAUCGAAGUGCAUUCAUAUUCAUGCUAGAUAGUAUUUUUAUGAAUUUUAGAAUACUUAAAAUGCAUGUGUUAUGUAUCAUGAAUUUUCAUCUCUAUGUAGUAGAGCCUAUGUGUAGUAAACAUGCAUGUGAGAAGUAUUCUCUUUUGUGGAUCGGAACCAUGUCUCAUGUGAUGAAUAUGACUAGAAUUAUGCAUUCUUGAACAGUAAACUCAUAUUUGUACUUAGUGAAUAAAAGUGUCAUAAAGGGGCACUCGGACUGGUAAACAGUUAAACUGCAACCUAGUGACAUAGUGAUAGGCCAUUGAGAUAUCGACUAUAUUCCAUGUUUUACACGUGAUGACAUAGUGAUAGGCCAUAGUGACACUUACUAUAUUCUAUGUUUUAGACAUGAUGACUUGAGACUUGAGACAGACUGUUACGCUUGCUUGCCAUUGUGCUCAUUCGCAUAUGCUUGUGAGGGUCGCUCUCUACAAGCCAGCACUUCGGAGAUAGCCAUCGCGAUAUAUACUCGCCGUGCGGGAUUGGGCGCCGAAAUGGGAAGCCGUGGGUGAGGCUCAUUCCUAGAGUGGGGAUGUUGACUAUAAUGGGGCCAUUAGGCACGGCGCAGGCCGGACUGCCCACGGGUAGGUCCUACAUGAUUGGUACCUUGGUGCCUUAGUAUACUGAGAGGACAUUCACUAGAAUAGUAAACAAUGCCAACUUACUAUUUACCUGUGGACAUAGUAGCAGUUUUACUUAUGCAUAUACAUGUUACAGUAGCUUUCUUACUUAGGCAAAUUCAUGCUAAGUAGAGAUAUCAUGUUGUAGUAAGUUUUAUGUUUAUUUGCUUACCCUUCAUAUUGGUCAUAUUUGUACUUACCCCUUCUUAGCUUUUGGGCCUAGUGGUGCAUUUCACCGAAGUCAGUAAUUGCCUACUGGGAACUAUUAUUUAAUAGUUCUCACGCCUCCUGUUUUAUGUUUUCUUUCAGAGCCCUCUACACCGGUGGAGGCACAGGACCGCGGUAAGGGGAUCGCUUGCUAGAUAGCGAGGAGUUCUUUUGCUUUAGGUGGUUUGUUCUCUCCUUUUGUGUUGUUUGAGAGAAAGUGAUAGUUGUAUCCAUAUAUAGAGACCACCUAUGUUAUACUUUUAGCACUUAUUUUUUUUGGGAUAUCCUUUGUACUACUUUAUGGUUCUAUUUAGUAGAUUUUAGCUUUCUUUUAUGCUUCUAUAUCUUAGACUCUAGAUGUUGUAUACUCUGAUACUUCUAGAUGUUCUUCCAUUCUUGCUUUAUUUAUCGUUUUGUAUUAGACGCCUUAUAUGUUGUAUACGUAUGACGGGUCUGGACACGUACCGGGCGGGAUUCUGCUGGAUCCCGGGGCGUGACAUAUUACUGUAAUAAAAAUAUAAAAAUAAAUUAUAAGAAAGAUUAAAAAAAAGGUCAAAAAUCAUAUUAAUAAGAAAUUAUAUAUAAUUAUAUUUAUAAUUAUAUAUAUUAUAAUUAUUAUUAUAAUUAUAUAUAAUUUUUAAAAAAAAUGAUUUAUUAUUCUUAGAUUUUUGCCUCUAUUCUUCUUUUAUCUAUCUUAUCAUUUUAUUCUUAUUUUUUUUUUACUUUUUUUAUAUUUUAUUUGUAAAUUUCCUUCCUUACUUUUUAUAUAUUUUUAAUAAUUCUUUUAUUCAGCUUAAUUAAAAUUUAUAUUUAAUACAAAUAAUUUAACUUAUUUAAAAAUUAUUUAUAUAUUUUUAAUUUUUAUAAAAAUUUAAAAAAUUAUAAUUUUUUUUAAUCAUAUAUUAAGAGAAUAAAUAUGUAAAAAAAUUAAGGCCAAUUUGCAUAAAAAAUUCACUUAUUUUGGGUUUUUGCAAAACCGGGCCACCUUUUUCGUUUUUGCAAAUUCGGUCCGCUUUUUCAGCAAACUGACCAAAAUACCCUUAUUACUUUUUCUCUUUCCUCUUUCUCUCUCCUCUUCGUUCUCUCGUUCUUUUUUUUUUUUUUAGCCGACAAAAAAAAAGCGACGGACGAGCAACGCCCAAAGCGGGCUCUUCUUCUUCUUCCUUCCUGCAGGAACGAAUUUUUUUUCUCUUUUUCUUUCUUCUUCUUCUCGCUCUGCUGGAGCUUUUUUUUUUUUUUUUUUUUUUUUUUUUUUUUUUUUUUUUUUUUUCCCUCCUUCUUCCUCUUCUUCGUUCGUCUUUUUUCUUAACCUGUAAGAGCACGGGGCGGCACAAGCGACUUCCGGCUCGGCCACGGAGCCCGACGCUCGAGCCGACGCCCCGUAGCCCGCGGGAAGCUCUAUUUCCUCGUCGAACUCUCCCCACGCGACCUCGAGCACGACACGACACGCCGCGAGGUCGCGCACCGGCGCCGGCGCCGGCGCCGCGCGUGUCCUACUAGGUUGCCCGAGGAAGGCCGCGCAAGUCGGACUACGAGCCGACCGCUCGCACCGACGCCCUGCAGCCGGGGAGCCUACUUCCUCCCCGCGCCGACCCUUGAGCCCCACCACUCCAGCGCGAUUUCACUAUUACAGCAUUAAAUGUGAACUAGCACCAUUAAUGUGUAAUUACACCAUUAAUGGUGUAACCAUUACACGGCAUAAUGGUGUAGUUUCACCAUUAAUGGGUAAUGGUGAAAUGCCGCGGCGGCGAUGGCGCCCGCCGGAUGCCGAGCUUCGCCGCGGAGCUCGGGGCGCGCCGCGCCCGCGCACGGGGCUGGUGCACGGCGGGGCGGCCUGCGGCGUCGGGUCGAGCGAGGCGGCGGGGGAGGUCGGGUCGCCGAGCUCGAGGUCGGCCGGUGACGCCAACAGCCUCCCUCUCCUCGCCGUCCGCCAAUAGCGGAGGAGCGCACGUCGCGAUCCGGCAGUCGCGGCGGGCGCUCGGCUUCCCGGUUGCUGAGUCUCUUCGUAUGGUGUUAAUGGUGGGCACCUUACACCAUUAAUGGUGAAUCACACAUUAAUGUGUAACCAUUACACAUUAAUGGUGUAAUUUUCACCAUUAAUGGUGUAGAUGUGAAUCUGGGCGCGGCGGUGGUCGGGCUCGGGGGGCGCGGGGGAGGAAGUAGAGCUGCCCGGUUGAGCAGGGCUGUCGGGGUCGAGCGUCGGGCUCGUAGUCUCACGCGCUGGCCUCCUCGGAACUAGUAGGAACGCGGCGGCUUGCCGGGCCGACGCGCGCCGGUGCCGGUUGCCGCCCGUCGUGGCGGCGGUCGGCCGGUCGGCGCGGGGGAGGUCGACAGGAGGAAGUAGACUUUCCCCAGGCUUGAGGCGGGUGCGUCGGGGGUCGACGCGGUCGGGCUCCGUGGCGAGGCGAAAGUCGCCGUGCGCGCCCACUGCAUCUUAUAGCGAAGAAAAAGAAGAAGAAGAAGAAGAAGAAGAAGAGGGAACAAAAAAAAUAAAAGCUCGCAGCAGGAGGAAGAAGAAGAAGAAAAGAAAAAGAGAAAAAAAAUUGCUCCUGAAGACAGAAGAAGAAGAGCCCGCCUGGUGGUGCUCCGAGCGGUCGCUUUUUUUUCGGCGAAAAAAAAAAAAGACGAGAGAACGAAGAGGAAGACAGAUAGAUAAGAGGAAAGAGAAAAAGUAAUAAGGGUAUUUGGUCAUUUGCUAAAAGCGGACCGAAUUUGCAAAAAGAAAAAGGUGGCCGGUUUUUGCAAAAACCAAAAUAACUGAAUUUUUUAUGACAAAUUGGCCAAAAAUUAAAGAAAAAACAUUAAAGGGAGAAAAAGAGACAAAAAAAAAAAAAAAAAUCCCUCCGCCUCUCCUCGUACUCUCCCUCGGCUGGGCCCCACCCUUCUGCUCUCACUCUCUCUCUGCCUCUCCCGUCGCCUCUCCUCGCCCGCAUCCUCUCCCCGCCGCCACGCGGGCGCCCCGCCGCGCGCGCAACCGCCUUUUCGCCUCCUCCUCUCCCGCGCGCGCCGCUCGUCGCGUGCACACGCGCCCGGCCCGCGCGCGCCCGCUCUGCCGCUCCCCCUCGCGCCGCGCCCCGCGCUCGCGCUCGCCCCCGCCCGCGCCACGAGGCGCCCCCUCCCCGCUGCGCGCUUCCUCUCCUCUCACCGUUUCGUACGAUACGCCGUUCCCUCUACCCUUUCCACCCCAUCGUCUGUCUCUCUUCCUUCUCCGCCACAUACGAUGGAUCCGAUGAGAUGGAUCCAAAUCUCAUCAAAUCUGCCCUCUCCUCUCACCGUUUUGUACGGUCCGUCGUUUCCUCUCCCUUUUCCACGGCAUCGUCCCUCUCCCUUCUUUACCGCAUAUGAUGGAUCCGAUGAGAUGGAUCCGAAUCUCAUCAAAUCCGCCGCUCUGCCUACGAUUCAUCUUGCCUACUAUUAAUUUUUUUUCCUUAUAGAAUAUGCUAUUGUCUUUCUUUUCAGGAAUCCGAAAGCUUUUAGAUGAGACGUGCAGUGGCAAAAUGGUCAACGAAUGGGUUUUUUAGGUAUCUCUUCAUCUCAUACUUAAUUUGUGGAUUUGCAUAUUAUACAUUUGAUGUAGUGAUGAAUCUUGUUGGUUGUUUGGCUAUAUAAUUUUCUGAAAUGUUUAGAUGGUUAUUUUCGAAAACUUUUUAAUUCAUAAAAAUUUUGUAGCUUUUUAAUUGAUAAAAAUUUUGUUAGCUGAACAAAUUAUCAUUCUUUUAAGUCAUAUUUCAUUCUUUUCAAUGUUUGGUUAAUCAAAGUUAUGAUUAUGACGAUUGAAGGUGCUCAACCGUAUUAUUGUGGAAGGACGAAAGUAUGGGAUUGAAUUGAUUCUUAGCUUAGUCAAUAAUCUAAAACAUUACAGUGGGAAGAUGCAAUAUAUUAAAUAUGCGUGAGACAAAAGCAUAGGAUUGAGCUCCUCAAAUGAUUCUUUCUUCUUUGAUCUAUCGAUUUGGAGAUAUUCAAGAUUUAUUAGAGGGUAAUAUCAGCCCGCUGAUAAAUAUGUACUAAAAACAGUUUAUUGCUAAGUUGCAAUCGAAUUUAUUUGGGAUUCUCUGAGAAAUGAACUUUAAAUAUAAAAAUAUAAUGAUAUUUGAUCCAAUAUCAGAUACUUCUUAGACGAUGCUAACAAAGAAAAACCACUUGGCUAGAACUGAUAGAGAUAAUCCCAUCAUCUUUACAUGGGAAUCAAUGAAUGAACCUCAUUGUAUAUCAGAUGCAUUUGGUGACACCUUUCAAGUAAGUGCUCUCAAUUUGUUUUUCUUUUUUUAGAAAAAUAAGUGUCCUUAAUUUCAUAUCUCAUUGAUGUGUCAUAAAAUAUCAUGUCACCUUGUAAUAGAAGCGCAAUAGAUAAUAAUAGUACAUUGUGAGUUUCAAUUGAUAUUUUUUGCUCUAAAGAAUUGUAGGAUUGGAUUGAAGAAAUGGCAGAAUAUGUGAAGUUGUGGGAAUAUAUUGACAAGGGUAUUUAUGCAAAGAAAGGAAAAUAGAAAAAAAAAAAAAAAAACUGUCCAAACUGGUUUAUUUCAGUAGUGCCUACGUAGUAUUUGAUAGAAUAACUAGAAAAGCUAGGAGGAGGAGGCUAUAUUACACUCCUGGUCCUCAAACUAUAAGUUGCACAACACUUUGGUCUUCAAACUUAAGUACAUGAUGAUGGUAGUAUUGAGACCGUUUUACAUCUACUUGUAAAUUCAUGAAGAAGAUGGAUAAUGUAAAAUUACCAAUAAUGUAAAAUUAUCAAUUUGUAGAUACUAAUGUUCAUUGCAUAUUAAAAUAAUGAGAGAAUGCUGUGAACCAUGAAAAUUGUGUAAGAUUGUAGACUUAUCGCGUAUCUCUAAAAUAACAACUGUACACUGAAGGAAAAUAUCGUGGAUUUAAAAAUAUUCACACUAUAUGAAGUCUAAAGUUUAAUCAGAGUGGAAUUAAAUGUUUUAUACCCAGUUUUUCAGUUUUUAGGCAGAGAGAUUUUCUGAAUUCUAUGAAGUAUGCAAAGGUAUUCAUAUCGGACGACAAGAAAUAUUGUUGAAAAUUGAAUACGUUCGACUUUGAAGCUAUGACUUUAUUUCUAUUUAUGCUAUCAUCAUCAUCAUCAUUAGUGGUAGUAGUUAUUAUUGUCGUUAUUGACUUGGUGCUGGUUAUUGUGCUCCUCCUCUAAAGAUGACAUCAUAAAUUUUUAAUUUAUUUUAAAAAAAUGCAGCCCCCAAAAUCAUUUCUUAUGGCUAUAAUUUGAAAUUAGAUCUUUGAUAGUUCGUAAAAAUUAGGUUUGAAAAUUAGAUCUUUUAUUGACAUGAAGAAGUAAAUGAAUAGAAUUCCUCAAUUGGGCAUUUUUCCGAAAUGCUUAGGUGGUUAUUUUCGAAAGCUUUUUAAUUCAUAAAAUUUUUGUAGCUUUCUAAUUCAUAAAAAUUUUGUUACCUAAACAAAUUAUCAUGCUAUUAAAUCAUAUUUCCUUCUUUUUAAUGUUUGGUUAAUCAAAGUAAUAAUUAUGAUGAUUGAAGGUGCUCGAUUGUGUUAUUGUGUAUAUAUAUAUAUUACAUGACAUAUCAGUUCAUUUUUAUUCCUAGAAUCAUCUACCUUUUUUGUAAGAUGCAUGCCAUUGUUGCAGCCUCUAUGGACCUCUAAUUAUCAUGCGAAAAUGAUGAACUCAAUUUAUAAUCUUAUACAAGAAAGCAAAAUAUUGAAUUUUUGGCCACUAUCAUUUAUUCCGCUUUAUUAUUUUCACACUGUUGUGAUUUAUUUAGAGUUCUGAAGUAACAGCAUGUAAUUCUCAAUUUUCUUUAAUUGCACUUCAAUUUGUAAAGCACCGUCAAAGCAUGAAGAUGAUGACUUUCAGGAGUAAAUUGUGGUUUUUGGGUAAAGUGUUCCUUCAAUACGGGAUUAUUAGAAGUGUUUUAGAGUUUCAAGAAUGCCGCUCUUUUUUUUUGGGGACAAUUUUUGUUGUCAUAAAUGUCAGAUAGUGAUUUUAUUUCUUUUUGGUGCAUCCAAAUUAGCGAUUGAUGAAAUUUUGUGCAAUUUUUUCCGUUGAAAAGAAUUUGCAUGAGACCAAACUCAUUUACUAAGGUUGAUUAGACAAACUAAUUCACAUUUCUGAUAUUUUUUUCUCAAGAUUAUGGUUGGUUCAUCAAAAGAUUACUUUGAACCAUCAAGUCCCCUACUUUGUUCUUUUCAACAGCUCCCAUUAGCAAAGCCGAAGCCAAUGAUGGUAAGAGUAGUUUGACAUUAAUCUUUCUAAGUCGUUUGAUAAAUUUGAAUACUUCCACACUUUAUUCCUAAUGUCGAUUGAUAAGAAUAUAGCUUAUUUUGUAUGAUAUAGUGUCGCCAUUUUUUGCAAAAUUUUCAACAGAUAUCACAAUUUGACUGCACAUAUUUUGAGCAAAAACACAUUACAUCCCUAUUCCCUCCGAAAGUUGAUCAUGUUUUAGGAGGCCUUAAACCAUUCUUUCUUUCUUUUUUUUUUACUUUAAUUUUCUUUUAAUUGACACCUCUGUAGCUUCCAAUUAUCUUAUUUAUUUAUUUUUAUUGUUAAUUAAUUUAAAAUAUUUUGUUAAAUUUUAUGGUCAAUUAGUUAUAAACCCCAAUAGCCUGCCGCAUCUUUGCCUUCCUCUGCUCUCUACCAACCUUUGUAAGUUCUACUCCAUCUCUGUCUAUUGUUGUGCACUUCGUUUAUUUGUAUAUAUCUAAAAAGUAGUCCUAUACUUUGGUUGAUUAUGGAAAUUAAUCUGUUAUGUAGUUUCUUUUUUUAUCGCGUAUAGUUAUAAUAAAUACUAUUCAAAAUUUUAAUUUGGAAUUCUUUAUUGACACAACAUUAAUUUUUCAGACUGAUACAUAUAAUAGUGAUCUACAGUGCAAUGCUCCAAUGUAAAGCCUUUUAUAUUCGUUAUCAAUUCUCAUGUGGCUUUCAUCUUUUAAGAGAUAGCUCUGUAUGUUAAUUUUUGUCAUCCAAUUCCUAUGCUUUAGAAUGCUCCCACCAUUUAUUUGUAUACAUUCAUGUUUUCCCAUGCAAAUUCUAUGCAUAAGAAGGUCGAGUUAAGUUCUUUGAUCUUGCUUAGAGUUUGAUACAUAUAUGUAUAUGCAUACUAUGAAACCUUUGGAAGAAGAGUAUGCAAAAGCUAUCAAAUUAACGCGCAAAAUGUCAAAGUACCAAAAAAGUACAAAGAUGCAAAAAAUAAUCCACAAAGACACAUAGGAAGAAGCCAAAAUGGACUGCAGUUUGAGUAGUUUCUUCCCUUUCUUUGAGUUGGCAUGCUGUCGGUUUUCAAAUUCUUACUUUGAUUGCCGUUAAAAAUUCUUUGUUUCUAUCUAUUCCGUUAGGUUUUCUUCCUACUUUUUGAAGUUUGAAUUAUGUUGGUGUGCACUUUUUUCAAGUCUCUUUGGUUUGUAAUGGGCCUCAUUAUUUCUCCAACUAAUUAGUUUUUUUUUUAACCUUUGAACUUCAUUUCUCAAUUAUUUACACUGAAGUGCUCAAGCUAUUAAUUUGACACAAGUGCAAUUAUAACUAUGUAGGUUCCAACCGUGUCUAGAUGUUCAUCGAGUUGGUAGUUCAUCCACUAUGUAACCUUGCGCUACAUUCAUCAUAUGCUGUUUUUGAAGUCUAAAUUAUAUUUGUUCACUUAGGCAAGAAGUUUUCUGGAAGGCAUCAAAAAUUUAUUCAAGAAUAUGUGAUUUUCAAAGAGGCCUUCAAUGUUUGAGAGCUCCCUGAGGAAGGAUUAGCAACAUUUUGGGUUGCUGAUUUUCAAUUCUUUUUUAAAGUGUAUAAAAUAGUGAGCUUUUCAUUUCUUUAUGAUGUUAUUGAAGCGUUCUAAUUGAGACAAAAAAAUUACUUAAAAUUUGAUGCCUUUUGAUAGAGGGUCCUCUUCUCAUACUAAUAAUUGGUUUAUCAAUACAAAAUACUAAUGAAAAUUUUCUGUUAGCAAAUUUAAAUCCAAUUUUGACAAUGUGCUACACUGAGGAAAGGUCUGAAUGAGUUCACGUAGAAAAUAUUUGCUUAGAUGCAGUUUCAAGUAAGAAUAUUUGUUGAAUAUUACAAAAUGAUUUUAGAGACGGUUUAAGAUCACCUUUCUUUACUUUUUAUUUGGGUAACAUAGUUCCUUUUUCCUUUUUAUUAUAUAGGUUUGUUUAUGAUCAUAAGAUGCUUUAAAUAUAUAGUUUUAUAUGUAAUUGCUGGUAAUGCUUAAAACCUUUUAGAUGUCAUUUAGACUUGGCAUCUUCCCAGUUGAUUAGACCAUGUAAUUCAAUAACUUAUAUUGAGUUUCUUGAUAGUCAUAUAUUUUGCUUAAUUAGACAAUGUAAUAUAGUGAAUACAAUUUUGAGUGCACUAUGCAAGGAAACAGGAAAAAAAUGAGAAGUUUAUAGUAUUUUAAUUACAAGUAAUUUUGUUAAGAAUCUAGCUGCUCUGCUAGGUAUAUUCUUGGGAAAGAGGAGAGCAUGGAAGGCUCAGAUUUGGUGAUGAUAAUAGUAAAAUGGUUCCUCAAAAAGUUCAGCUCUUAGUUGGAGAAACCAAAUAGAGGAUUACAAAAGUGAAAUGAUUCUUUAUAUAGGAAAAUAGAGAGAUUGUAUGAAAGUCUCUUAAAUUUUUCUUUGUUGAGUUAUCUAAGAAAAGUUGGACUAACUAAUUUAAACAUCUACAGGACACUCAUUCCAGCGUAUGCAGAAUAUUUUCUUUAGAUAUUAUGUUUAUCUAGCAAGCUGUUGAACAAGCUCAACUUAUGUCGGUUUGGUUAUCAACAUUGAACUAUGUGUGCCAAGCUCUUUGACUAGGAUUUUCAUGUCUGUUAGCUUUUUUUGAGGUUGAUGAGAGUAAUAGUUGAAAUUCUUCCAUUUUUUCGUUGGUAAUUUGCACUUUUGUGAAAUUUUCUUCAAAUUUGAUGAAUUUUUUAUAUAAAUUAAAUUUUUUUUUUGCCUAAAUCUAAAGAAAACCUUAACAAAUUUAUGUAGCUUAUACUAUCAUUUUCAUCAACUGCUAUAUAAUUUCAUUUUUUCUAUAGAAUCAAUCCGCUGCAACGCGCGGGUACCUUCACUAGUUAAUAAUUAAUUCCCGUAUCAAUUUCAUCAGCAUCGAUCAUUUGUCGUAAUUACUACCCGUAGUAGAGGACGAGGAGGAGGAUCAGAGGAGGAGGAUCAGACUCAGAGGAUCAGAGAGGAUUGAGGAGGCGUAGGGGAUGGCGAGGUCGAGCGCGGACGACGUGGAGUUGCGGCGGGCGUGCGAGGCGGCGAUCGACGGGGGCGGGGGGAAGCAGAAGGUGGUUCUGUGCAUCCGCGUCGCCAAGAGCCGCGGCGUCUGGGGCAAGGCCGGCAAGCUCGGCCGCCAGCAGAUGGCCAAGCCCAGAGUCCUUGCCCUCACCAGUAUGCAUCUCUCUCUCUCUCUGUAACCUCUCUCUCUCUCUCUUGCUGCAUAUACAUUCCAAUCUCAUAGCUAAGCUAGGCUACACUGUCCUUUCAAUCUCUCUCUCUCUCUCUGUGGGUGAUCAUCAUAAUCUCUUGACAAAAUACAACGACGACAUCCUCAAGUGUUCGAUGUCAAAGAAUUCUAGUUGCUGCUGUAACUCAUUAAAAAACUACAAUUUGAGCGCUUAUGCAUCAAAGCUUUCUCGUCAUAAAUGCUGCUCUUUCCGGGCUCAAUUGAUUAGUUUAGUUGAACCAGUAGCUCGAAUACAAGUCAUUAAUGUGCAUUUUCAAAUGUUCUUUAUGCGGCAUCUAGUGUGACAGCAAGUAACUCAUGCAGCCAAAUCAAAAGGCCAGCGGACUAAAGCUUUCCUUCGAGUUCUGAAAUAUUCUACUGGAGGAAUUCUUGAGGUAACUAAAUGCUUAAAUGCCAUCUUCAUGACGUAUUACUAUGCACGUAGAUCAUUUUCACUUUGAUUUUGCUAUUCAUGUUACAUGCUUAAACCUCAUCAUGCAAGCGGUACACUUUUAAUAUCUUUUAACUCUUUUGCGUCUUUAUGAGACCUUCCAGGACUCUCCAUAUGGUGAUUACUGUUCGCCCUUACCCAAUUGUGCGGUACUGUGCAAUAAGAAAGCUCCUUAGAUGAAAUGAAAUGAAAGUGGUCUUUGUGGGUUUCGACAUGUUGAUGCUUUUAUAAUCUUUGUGAUUUACAUUUUGCCAAUUGCUAAUGUAGACAAUAACCAAAAGGUCUUAACGAGUUCCUGAAGGUGUUUCUUAUUCGCUUGUUUUGUAUUGUAGCCGGCGAAGAUUUACAAACUGAAGCAUCUUUCAAAAGUGGAGGUUAUUCAAAAUGAUCCCAGUGGUUGUACCUUUAUGCUGGUACGCUCUUUUAUCUUACUCUACUUGUUUGUUUCCAACUUGUCAAAAUGUUUCGUUUUGAUUUCGCAUAAGAAGAGAACAACAGAAUCUAUUAUAUUUUUCCUACAUGCUAUUCUGUUUUUGAUCCUUAAGCAGAUCAUUUUGUUUCUUUUAGGGAUUUGAUAACCUUCGAAUGCAAAGUGUUGCACCUCCUCAAUGGACGAUGCGCAACAAAGAUGACAGGUAAUAGUAGGGAAUGCUCGGAGGUCAUUACUGAAGAUUUCACAUGUGUUCUUACUAACAAUAUGGUUUUUGGUUUCACUUACCAUUGUCUACUUGUAGGAACCGGAUUCUUAUGUGCAUUUUAAACAUGUGCAAGGAGAUAUUAGGUGGUAUCCCUAAAGUUGUUGGUAUAGACAUUGUCGAGAUGGCUCUAUGGGCAAAGGUGCAUUUAAAAGGAAAUUCUUUUUCUGCAGUCACUCACAAUUUUUGGCUGUAUCCCUUACAAAUAUUUUGCAAAAGGGGCUACAAAGUUGGGGUUCGACCCAAAUUUAGAGUUAAUAUUGGACUAGGUAAGAAAUUAUAAUUGAUGUUCCAUGGAACAAGUACUACACUAAUAAAGGACUUACCUGAUAAGAAUACAUUGAGAAGACAGAGCUAUUACAGUUCAGAAGGUUGACAAGGCCAGAGUGAGUUGUUAUAUUGUGGGCAUCAAAGGAUAGUAUUUAUCGCACCUCAUCAAGAGUUUAGACCUAAGAUAUUGAUGGCUAAUUUCACCUAAGGGCAGAGUAUUGCUAGGGUAACCAAAUAUAGUGAACUUCAGUGUCCACAUUAAGAUCCAUAUUUUAGGGCCUUCAUUCCGCUUAAUUAUGACCAUACUACCUAGUUUCAUGCUAGUUUGAACUUUAUGUCCUUUUAUCUCUAUACUUCCUAUAUUUUCUAUAAUCACAUGCUACACAUCCUUUGCAAUCUACCCGUUAGAUAAUGUCCAAAAAGGAAAAGUGCAAGCUUCUAAUGAUGAGGUAAAACCCCAAGAUGAAAUAGAUUACCAUGUUGAGGGCUUUAUCCCACAUAGUCAUACAAACUAAACUAGUUUCAUUAGUUGAUUUUUGAGGUGAUGGAUUGAUUAUAUUGAUCCACUUAACAAACUAUAUAUAGCCAUAAUAGUAGAUUCUAAAGAGUAAGGAUUAAAUUGGUCCAAUGGUGUCUGACCCAAAUCUCAUGGCUUAAAUUAUAUAGCUAACACUCAUUAGUAUCUUAAUAGUGAAACUAACUUAAAUGUUUCUUAAUCUCGUUUAGGAAAAUACUCCCGCAAAAACUAGUCAAGUGGCAACUAAAGAUGGACCAGCAACAUCUGUUAUGACAGAGAAUGACUCACAAAUUACUGUCGAAAGAGAUCUUGUUUCACAAGCUGAAGAAGAGGACAUGGAGGCCCUUCUUGGCACGUAUGCUAGUUUCCUAACUUCAAGUUUUAUGUUUUGUUCUAUCUGUGAAAUUCUCAUUUAAACUGGUAUAAUAAUGUGCACACUUCAUUCUAUCGUUGAAUUGCUAGUGUUUGAGGUGAAUGGAUAUGUAUUCACAAUUUCACAUAAUAACUUAGCGAUUUAUUAAAAUUUUUAUGUUACUUUAUUGUAGCACGAAAUGGGUUGUGAUACCAUUUCCAUUCUGCAAUUUAACGAAGUUUUAGUUCUAUUGCUCUUCUGGUUUCUAUUUUGCUUGACAAUUUUCAACUGAAAAAUAUUGGUUGGCACCAAGCUGAGACAUUUUUUUAUGUUUGUUAUCCACAUACGUACUAUGUCACCAAGUAUUUCUGUAAUUUUCUUUCUCUUUGUAUUCCCUCACAUAGAAAUAUAUAAUCUUAAAGAUAGUUCAUUCUUGGAACUAUCAAGGCUAUUGAUAAUAUCAAUACAAGUCAUAUAAUAAAUGUUACAUAUAAAAUUUGCAUUGUCUCAGGGCUGCAUGUUGCUAUAUCUGAACUCGCAAUGCAUAAUAUCUACUAUAUAAAGCAUUAUUAAAUUCAAAAUAUUUAAACCUUUAUCUGCAUCAAAAGAUAGAUGAAACAAGGAUAAAGGUGAAGAUACCUUGCCCAUACUUUCAUAUUCAUCUACUUUUUCUUUUUGGUUUGUUCAUUAAUAUAUGUAAUUUUUAAUAACUUAAAUGCAGUACUAAUUUGUAUACUCUGUAGGUAUGUUAUGGGCAUUGGUGAAGCAGAGGCAUUUUCAAAAAGAUUGAAGCGGGAGCUUCUAGCUCUGGAAGCUGCAAAUGUCCAUGCCCUUUUGGAAAGCGAGCCUAUAGUAGAAGAGGUUCUUUUUACCUAGUCUUCGCUUCAUACAAGAUGUUAAACAUGAUGAUGAUCAAUAUAUGAUAAAUUAUAAUUUCAUAGAUUUUUUUAAGAAAUUAUUCAGAAUUUCUGGCAUAUAGAAAAUGCAAUUAAUGGCAGUAAAUAUCAAGAAGGAAUAAAGUGACCCAAAUAGCUAGUAACGGUGAAGUUCUAUUUUUAUGCACUGUUGCAGUUUCCUAUUUUGUUUCGAUUGUUUGCUUUUCUUCUUUUAUAGAAUACAAAUUAUUGAUCAACUAACAUCGUGAAGUAGCAAGUCUAACACCUAAAAACUGAAUCCCAGGAAAAUAGUGAGGUAGUGCAUUAUCACUUUAUACGCAAUCUAGGCUAAUCAAGAGGAAACAAUCUCCAGAAAGUACGUCUUAGUCUCCACAAGGGGCCAUGUGAGAGUAAAACUCCAUAACAUUUCACAACACAUGCCUGUCAUGAGAUUUUAUCUGCUAAUUUCUAAUAGUUACAAUUUUGUUCUGGUUUAUAACUUUGCUGCAACCCUUUGAGGUGCUUCAUUGGACCCUAACCUUAUUUCUAUAUUAUAAUUCAGCUUUUUUUAAAAAUAAAUAUUGAGCUGCUGAAAAAUCAAAUCAGCUCCAAAAGUGUCUAUGCCAGCUGAAUAGAUAAUAAUAUCAAUGUACUUGCCUUCUCUUUAAAAUUAUACAGUAAUUGCAUACUCGUAAUAAUUGCAAAUUCCAAACUAUGCAGGUACUUCAGGGUCUAGAAGCAGCUAGUAUAUGUGUGGAAGAUAUGGAUGAGUGGCUUGGUAUUUUCAAUGUGAAGCUUAGACAUAUGAGAGAAGACAUUGAAUCGGUAUGGUAUUCACAGCCUACUGAUACUACAUAGCAAAUUUCGCCAUUAAGAGCAUAUUUAAUCUUCAUCUGUCAAGGUGAUGUAAAGAUUUAAAAAGUAUUUUCACAGCACAAUCAUGCGAGAAGCCAACACAAUAUUUUAUAUUUUUUUCCUGCACAGUUUGCACACUUUAUCCUUUCUACUUUCCAUUAUUUCCAAACCAAGAAAUCUUUACAUAUUUAUGCGAUAUCUGAAAUUUAAAGCCUCAAUUGUCAUCACUCACAAUAUCUGAUACUUAGUUUGUCGCAGAUAGAAUCUCGUAACAAUAAGUUGGAGUUGCAAUCGGUAAGUAACAAAGUGCUUAUUGAGGAGCUCGAUAAGUUACUUGAGCGCUUACAAAUACCUUCAGAGGUGCGCUUGCCGCUCAUUUAAUGUCAUAUACCUUCCUCUUAUGAUGGUAUUUUGAUUGAAUUUUCUUAAUAAUUAUUUUCCAAUUGUUGAUACCAUUGAGUUGAUGAUAGUUCGAAGCAGCUCUAACUGGAGGUUCAUUUGAUGAGGCAAAUAUGAUUAAGAACAUUGAAGCCUGUGAGUGGUUAACUGGUGCGAUAAAGAAUAUUGAAGUGCCAAAUUUGGAGCCAUGCUAUGCAAAAUUACGAGCUGUAUGCCUUUUCCUUUUGCUUGGAUAAUAAUUUCUCUGUGCAUAAGUAGCAUCAAAUUUGACAAAUUUACUGGGUUGACAGAAGCUAUAAAAUCUAAUUUCUUGAUGACUGUAUAAUAAAUAAUACCAACCUUAGGAUACAGAGGAUCUGGAUAAAGCCUAUAAUCAUAUAUGAUCUAUAUAUUAUGUGGCAAAGAACUAAUAUAUAUUGGCAGUAAUUUCAUUGCACUUCGUUCUUGUCCUUUUGUUUACUGUUAACAUGAAAUCUAAUAUAACAGUAGAGUAAAGAUCAUUAGUUUCUGCAACUUCUGAGUUUCCUAGUGGAAUCUUAAUGAACCAUUCAUUUGUCGCACUGCAUUUACAUAUUACAUUUUACCUUAGGUCAUUCGUUGCUGUUGCUUUGCAUCUGGAGUUUGAAUGAACUUAUUAUUAAUAUCUUUACAGGUCAAGGAAAAACGUGCCGAAUUUGUGUUGCUGAAGUGUACAUUUGUUCGGCGGGCAUCAGAAUUUCUAAGAAAUUACUUUCCUAGUUUAAUUGAUUUUAUGAUAAAUGACAAGAGUUAUUUUUCUCAGGUAAUGACAUAGUUUCAUUAUCUGCUAAUCAUUGCAAACAAGUAGUUUCAGGAUUUUUACCUAAUUAUGCUUUUCAGCGAGGACAGCUGAAGAGGCCUGACCAUGCUGAUCUUAGAUACAAGUGCAGGAUAUAUGCACGACUUCUGCAGCACAUAAAGGUCCUUUUUUUUUUGAGAAAGUCAAGGAGUGAGCAUUAGCUUUAAGUCGUAGUGCUUUUUCAUGAUUCUGACUUGCAAAUCUUUCAGUCUCUGGACAAGAAUUGUCUGGGACCACUGAGGAAAGCGUACUGCCAUUCUCUUAACCUGCUACUCCGUCGAGAGGUCAGGAGUGAAAUUGUACUUUAAAAUUUGACCAGUAUAUAUAUUUUUCCUUUGAAUUUCUAAUUAUUUCUGCUUAAAUAAGAACAUGAUAAUAUAUGCUGUUGACCAAUAAUGACGAUUUCUACAAGAGUAGAUUAACUAUCUUGCAGAAUUGCACAAAUGUGCAUUCAUUGACAUCAAUAUUAUGAUUUAUUCAGACUGGGAAUUACUUCUUAGGUCAUUAAUUUAUUCUUAAAGAAAAUUGAGCGAAUCUGGGAUUCGGUUGUGCUUCUUAGCUUUGCAAUUUGCUGUCUAUAUUCAUUCAAGAAAACCAUCCUAAGGAACUUUCUUUUUUUGGUAAAAAAAAAAAAUAGGAUUGAAAAUAUUUUGUCCCCGAGGAUGAAGUGGCCAUUUUGAAUCAGCCCCCUCUACUAUAUUUCGAUUGUCACUUCUUCGGCAUUUUUUGUUUUGAUUCAAGGCAUUCUGUCAACUGAAAUUGGGAAUGCUGUUAAACAUAAUGGCACACUUUAAAGAUAGCGGGAUAGUUGGUUCUAUUUGUUUAAGAGGAUGGCUUUGAUUAUGUAAUAGCAGUAAUGAAAUAAAUUAUGAAUUUGUGCUAUAUCUAUUUACUUUAUUUGGGCUUUGUGUUUCACAGGCCCGUGAAUUUUCUAAUGAACUUCGUGCUAGUACAAAGGUAUCAAAGAGUUCUACUGUUUGGCUUGAGGGCCCUCCAGGUUCAAGUCAGACAACUAAUAGUGCUGAUAGUUCUUCAGCUUCUGAAGCAUACUCAAGGAUGCUCACAGUAUUUAUUCCUCUUCUCGUAGAUGAGGUAAUAUUAUUUUAUUCUUCCAUAUGUUUCAUCUAACACAGGCAUGCCUUGGAACAGAAAUAUUUUAACUGUUAUUUUCAUUGUAGAGCUCUUUCUUUGCACACUUCAUGUGUUUUGAAGUGUCUGCACUUGCUCCAUCUGAGUCCUUUGGCAGUAACAAAUUUGGAUCUGAUGGCACAGAAACAAAUCUAGCUGCUCACACUGGAAGUGAUGUCAAGCACAGUAAUAUUCUUGCCUAUGUUGUUAAGAUAAAUUUUAAUACUAUGCCUUUUCUUCUGCAUUAUGUGUACAAAUUUGAAGUAAUAUCAAAUUCUUGUGAUUCUCCCUGCAGAGAAUAAUUCAAAUGAAUUGGAAAUUCUAAAUGAAUGUCUUCGAGAGUUGCUUGACGGAAUCCAGGUUAGUUUUCUGUAGUUGUAAGAAAUUUUCUUAUGCAUUACAGCUGACUCUGAAUUUGAAUCAUGUCAUACCAUAAAUGCGUAAUGUGCUUGCUGGCGAAAUCUUUACUAAUUUUGUUGCUUUUAUUCUUCACAUUUCUAAGUCUGCAGUGUAUAUGCUAUUAAGCUUUUUCAUAUGAAAGCAUUAUGCCUAAAUGUAGGAGGCUGUUGAUCUUAUUAACAGUAAAGCUUUUUCAUAUGAAAGCUUUAUGCCUAAACUAUAAAUGCCGUUAUCCUUACAUAAUGCAAGUAUAAUAGUGAGCUGUUUUGCCAGACAUUUGAAAGAGGUACUGAUUAGUUAGAAACUCCAAUUCUGCAAUAUUACUAUAUUCAGCUAGACUAUGAGAUGAUUCUUUAUGUCAUUUUCCAACGUCAAGUUAUGUGCUAUAUAUAUAUUUUUCAUGACAAACUUUAGAACAGCAACAUUAGGCUCAUUGUGGGACUUCACUUAUUUACUUAUUAUUCUAACUUACUAUCUCAGGAAGACUUCUAUUCUGUGGUAGAUUGGGCAUGCAAAAUUGAUUCGCUUUGUUGCAUAUCGAUGCACGGUAUCACAGACCGCUAUCUUUCUACUCAAAAAGCUGAUGUAGCAGGAUUUGUUCGUGUGUUGCUUGAUGACCUAGAGACCAGAGUUUCCAUGCUCUUCAGCAGGGUUUGUUUAUAUGCAAUAUGAUUUUUUGGUUGUCCUAGACACUUUGGAAUUGCAUGCAACAGACAUCUGACUAACUUUUGUUUCCUUUUUUCCUUUUUCAUCUAGUUUGUUGAUGAUGCUUGUUAUCAGAUUGAGAAAUAUGAAAAGAAUGUGCGACAAAUGGGAGUUCUACCAUAUAUACCAAGGUUUGCAACACUUCUUCCUUGAAACCGUCGAUGCGUGUUUUCUUGUACGGUUGAUUUUUUUUCAACACCAGUUCUCUUCUGCUAUUAUAAUCUGUAAUAUAAACAGAUCAUAGUUUGAUAUUUGAAACCAAGUAUUUUAUUCAAUAUCAUCACAAAUUUGGGGCUGUUUGGUUGGAUGUAAUUUUAAAUAUCGUACAACUAAAGAUGCAUAUAGUUAAAAAUGCAGCAGUUACAACUAUAUGUAUUUUGUUUGGUUGGAUGUAAUAGAAAAUACUGCAACAUAAAUAGUUUGUUAGAUGCAUGCAGUUAGAAACUAUAUUUAUAAAUUUUGUCACUUUGUAUAUGGGUUGGGUAAGAUUACCAUCAAGGCAUCAAUACAGAAGAAAAAAAAUAUUUUUUUUGUUAUAUAACUUGUAAAUCAAUGCAGUUAAAAUAACAGAGACAAUAGAAUAGAGGCAUAAGAUAUUAAACAAAGUAGGAAUUUAGGUUGUAGAACAUUAAAUGGUAAAAUCAAACAUGGAGAAAAGAGGGAGUUCUAUUGCAUAAUUGAUUAUCAGAUCAGAUGUAAUGCAAUUUUGAUUUUAACAGCUAUUUUUGGUAUUUUGUUUUGUUCUCUAGAAAGUAAGAUAUGUUAAGUUUACAUAAGCUCUUCCCACUUUGAGAUAUUUUUCCUUAAUAUUCCGUCUAGUUUAUAAAAAUGUACUAAGGCCGUAUUGUUCCCUUGGUUAGCUUUAAUUUACAAUGCUCUAGCAUAAAUCUGCAAUCUAUUAUUCUUCGUAGAUUUGCUACGCUGGCAACACGUAUGGAACAGUAUAUACAAGGGCAAUCUAGGGAUUUGGUCGAUCAAGCAUAUACAAAAAUUGUGAGUUCCACUCUACCCAGUUGGACACACCACUUGAUACCAGUAAUACCUGGCCCUUUCCUUCUUUUUUUUUUGAAAAUAAACUUGCGACAAUUGUACGCUUUUUUUUUUUUUUUUUUUGUACUUUAACAUUAUUUCAGAAUACCAGGUCUGCAAGUUUAAAUAAUGGGCAUCUAACCUAGCAUCUCCUCCUUAUUGGUGGCUUAAGUUAUAUAUCUGAUGUUUUAUUGAACGUUCUCUCAAAUUUACUAAAUGAUAAUUUGUAAAAUUUGAAAUAGGUCAGCAUAAUGUUCGUUACCUUGGAGAGGGUUGCACAAGUGGAGCCAAAGUAUGCCGAUAUCGUGCUAUUGGAGAAUUAUGCAGCUUUUCAGCACAGGUUGUGAAAAACUGACCUUCACUGACAGAUUAUUCAUUAUUCAUGUAAUCUGAAGAAACAAGUCUGCUCUCCUGAUACAUAUGUUCUUUUUUCUUCAGUCUCUAUGAUUUAGCUAAUGUUGUGCCAACACUUGCUAAGUUCUACCAUCAAGCAAGUGAAUCCUAUGAACAAGCUUGCUUGCGCCAUAUUAAUAUGGUCAUCUACAUUGUAAGGACUUCUUUAUCUCUAUCCAUAUAUUUCUUCCCCUAAUCUGGUAGCUAUUCUUUCAUGAGAUGCACAUACUUCUUCCCCUAAUCAGGGAAUUAUUCUUUCAUGAGAUGCACUAUUUAUAUUGAGGAAAGGUGCUCUUUACUAAGUAACGAACAAGACAAAACAAAAACACUUCUAUAAACCAUAUAUAGGCUAGGAUCUUGUCCGGAGUACUGACGCUCCUACAGCAUAUCCCUCCCCAGCAAAUCAUUUUUUUCUGUCAUCUCAAACUUCUUUUUUUUGUCAACUUAAGGCAUAAGAAGAUAUAUAUAUGUGUGUGUGUGUGUGUGUGUGUGUGUGUGUGUGUCUCAUCUCCAGAUUUAUAAUUGAAUUUUGCUUUUGCAGCCAACUCAUAUUGUCUUACAUGUAUCCAGAAAGAAAAGAGUUUUUUCCUUAUAUGCAUCCAUAUCUUCUAGUUCCCAAGGAAUGGUUUGUUCCUAGUGAUCAUUUCAUAUGAAGCAAUGCGUUAGUCAAUGAUUUGGAUCAAUCGCAACGAAUCUCCAGCAUCUAGAAAGCUUAUGAGUAUCAGUUCUUGUGUCAGAAUUUUGGAGAUGCUUUUGUGUUAGUAUUUUUUAUUUAUGUAGUGGUUUGACUCAAACCUGCUAUCUUGAUAUGGCAAGCCCGCUGAGGACAUCAUACAUAAAUAUGUUUUUAUGUGCUAAUGUGUGGUGGUUGAAUGGGUAUAUCAGCAUAUGCAUGUGUGGAUGUGUAUAUGUGCACUCGCAUGCUCAUGCAUGUGUGCAUGUGUGCCAAGAUGUUUUCUUAUAACCAUGUUACUUAUUGCAGCACUUUGAGAAAUUAUUCCAGUUCGCAAGAAGAAUUGAGGAAUUGAUGUUCACAAUUGCUCCUGAGGAGGUAAGACAAUCUUGAAUAGGGCCUACAACUUGCUAAUGCAUCUUUUCUUGUAGUUUACAAUAUGGUGUUCAAUUUUAACAGCUCUUGCUUCAUUAUCUAAUGAUGUUACUUCCCCUAUGACCUGCUCCGUCCACUAGUCAUCUGUCUGUGCUAUCAUGCUUGACUAAAUGUUGGAGACAAAAGCUCAAACUGCAUCUAGUUGUACUUAAUUUUAUACCUAAUCUUUUCUAAUAUUAAAAUUUGCAGAUCCCAUUCCAAAUUGGAAUGUCAAAGAUGGAACUUCGAAAGACACUAAAAUCCAGCUUAUCAGGAGUAAGUUGCAAUAUUUAUUUUAGUCUCAUCUUUCUGUCUUAAGUGCACUUCUAAUUAUUUGGCUGUCAUUUUGAGAUGGUGAGAAUAUUAUCUUCAUUUUUUAUGUCUUUGCUGCACUUAUGGCCAUUUAUUAUUAUUAUUUUUUUUACAGCUUGACAAGACCGUAAGUGCAAUGUAUAGGAAACUACAGAAGAAUUUAACUGCAGAAGAGUUGUUGCCUUCAUUGUGGGAAAAAUGCAAGGUCUGUUUUAUCAUUUGCUCUGAUCAAAACAUGCCAAGAGAAUUAGAGAAUAUCUUAUUCGACUACAUGAACCAAAUAUAUAUAUAUACAUACUACUAAAGAGACGGCUGGUGGACUCAUUCGCUGGCCCUCUUCGAUAUCUAUCUGUCUUUCGAUUCAUCUAUGUUUAUGCCUUUUUUUACAGAUACGUCAAAUAUUCUUAAAGAAUUAGUUGAAAAAAGCAUAAAAAAAAAUCUGAUUUGAAUCAUUUCAUCCAUUGAUUUAAAACUAGGAAGCUAAAAAUCCAAUUCCUUUUGUCAAACACCUGGGGAGAAAACAUCUUCCAUAAAGUAAACUCAUUGUAAACACCCCUGGGAUACAAGAAAAGAGAGUAGAGGGAGGAAUGGCUUAACUGCCCCUUAAGCCAUUCUGACUACUACCUCUCUUAAUCCAUAGGGUAUAGAAUUCAAUAUAUAAUAAUAAAUUGAAUUCGAGACACACACACACACACACACAUAUAUUAAGAAAGAGAGAGUGGGAGUUCUUUUCUCUGUUUGAUUUUUUUUUUUUAAAAAAAGAGGGGCAAAACGGGUGCUUUUUUAAUUUAUUACUCCUUUCAACUCAAUUUAUUGUAUUAUAGGUAAUGUUUCCACAGAGACGCAGUUAUCAUUUUCUAUGGUGUGUUGGCAGCACUAGAAUAAUGUGUUGAUUUAAUAGUUUCAGCACAUUGAAUUAUUUUCUCAAUUUCGUUUUGUUUAUAUGAACCUGUUUUGUUCUUGCUGCCUUGUUGUGUGUCUGCACUUUGCCGCACUAUUUCUGCUCUUACCAUGUUUUAAAUAAAUAUCAUUGGUAAUUUCCCCAAAAAACAAAAUCAACUGAUUCAGAUAUUGAUAAGAUUGCUGCAAAUUACGAAUAAAUUUGGUGGUAAAAUAUUUGAAUUUGUUCCAAUUUGGGUCCCGCAGAAAGAGUUUUUGGACAAAUAUGGAAGUUUUCUUAAACUGGUAGCAAAAAUAUAUCCAAAUGAGACCGUCUCCUCGGUGGCCGAGAUGAGAGAACUCCUUAGUACAAUGUAGGAGAUUGCUCCAGGUUUUUCAUCAUCCUCAAGGUUGGAUAAGCUUAAUUUGUUUUUCAUUGAUUGGUGUAAGUUCCUUUCUGCUUUGCUUUCUAGUUGAUAUACUUGGUUUUGAACAGCCUUACAUCCAAUCGUCUCGUCUGAACUGAUGCAGGUAUAUUACUUUGGAAGAAGCUAAUGCAGUACCUGCAGGUAGCACUUGGAAUUCUUUAAUUCUUUUAAUUCUUUCUUUCUUUCUUUUCAGUUCUUGUUUUUUCCCUAAAUGAGGUUCUCAUUGAGGUGCAUGCAAUCCAGUCAAUUUGGUUGGCAGGAACUGUCUAUCCUUUGUAUUAUCUCAUUAGAUUUUUGAAGCAGAUGACUGAGACGAACAGAUUCUUUAGUUCAUAAAGUUAAAAAAAAUAUAUUCAGUGGCGACGGAUAUGAAACUACAAUUAGCUUUCGGCCUGUUUUGCCUUCAGUUUUUCUAGCGGUCUUGCUCAACAAUUUUAAAUAUCGGUUGCAAUCAAUAAAAAAUUAAUAUAACAAUUAAAAUAUUAGUAGAUAAUAUUAAAGUAAUAAAAAAAUAUUAACAUAAAAUGAAAAGAUACUAAAUAUUUUAAGAUUUAUCUCUUAGAGAAAAGAGAAUUAAAAGUUUAUUUUGUUAUGUUACUUAUUUUACGUAAGAAAAAAUAGGAAUCAAAAAAAAAUUCCCAAAAAGUUGAUUUAUCGAGGUACCAAAAUUCAAAAUAAAAAGCAUUUAAAAAUUAAGAACUUUGAAUAAAAAUAUCUUGAGAGUGACUCAAAAAAUUCGAGAGACUUUGAAUAAAAAUAUCUUGAGAGUGACUCAAAAAAUUCGAGAGAGAGUAUACUCUUAUUAGUACGAGUGAAGACCCGCGCUUCGCAGCGGAAAAUAUAAGAAAAAAAAUCAAAAUAAAUAAUUAAAUAUUUAAAUUUUAAAAUAUUUUAUUAUUCAAAAUUUAAAUUUAAAUUUAGAAUAUAAAAUGUUGAAGUUUAAAAUUUAAAUUUUAAUAUAUCAAAUUGAAAUUUCAAUAUUUAGAAUUUAAUAUUUGGAUUUUUAAAAUUCAAUGUAUAAUUAUAUAUAU
This 38864-nucleotide long non-coding RNA is filed under the name Ananas comosus (pineapple). Its description in RNAcentral is "long non-coding RNA (ACOM_LNC022092)". Lineage: Eukaryota; Viridiplantae; Streptophyta; Magnoliopsida; Poales; Bromeliaceae. The record is from RNAcentral.